CCCUGCUGUAGUAGCUAAUGUACAGAUAGUGUGUAAGUGACCACUAAAUCAUUAUAUGCCUUUAAAUAAUUUUAGAGCAUCAGAGCAUGUCACGUGUUUCGGUAGCCUAGGUGACUAAUAGGUUAAUCAGGCUAGCAGGAGCGAAGAGAAGACACGUUGCUGUGCGAUUUAAGGAAAAAGGGAGGCUUAAUCCUGCACAAUUUAUUUAAUAGAACCCUUUGGGAAAGCGGAGCGAGGUAUGUGAAGUUAAUAUUUAAGCCACAUGAGUUCAUUUGUAUGUAUAUGUUAAUCGUGAGCUCUGCCUUCUUAUUAGUUGUUUCAAACUGUCGUUAUAUACUUCAUUGUUUCACUUUCAUAUGUCGCUCUGUACAUUAUAUCUUUAUUUGUCGUAUUAUUCUGUAUACAAGUUGUUUUUAUUGAUUUUUGUUGUUUCUUUGUGUAGUUUCACGGUGCUACGCAACGAAAGUUUAAUGGCUCUCGGCUUGAGCAAAAUAAAGAAUCAAGCACCCGUCAGAAACUCUCUGUCUCGUUCAUGGAAACCAAAGGGCAUCUACAGUGAAACUCGACGCUUAAAGGAACCACGCAUCUGUUUCAUCGAGACGAGGCUGGCAGCUGGCAGGGUCGUGACGUCAUCGCACAGGCUGAUCGGAGGCUGCAGUUACCCAUACUAGUCGGAGGUGGCGCGCGUGCUGUCAUUCACUGUUGCAGAUACAGUGGGAGACUUUGAGUGGCAAGAGAGUUUAAGAACAACAUAUUCCUACGUAAGCAGCAUCAAGUCAUCUUGAACUUAGUAAUUUUAAUGCUUUAAAGGAAAAGCAAAUAUUUUAUGGACAUUUGAGUUAAAAGGUUAAAUUUACAAAGGACUUUAAAUAAAAGCAAAUAAAUAAUGUUAUAAAGAACAUUUACUUCAUAGUUUAAGAUUUGAAUUACAUUAUUUGAGUAGAAUUUAAGAGAAGGAAAAAAAAAAGAACUUAAUUUAUUUUAUUUAGCAUUAGAAAAAUUACAAUCAGUGUUAAUGUUAGCUGUACUUAUUUGAAAACUGACAUUUCCUUGUUAUUCCUGUUACAAGCUAAUAUUUUGGAUGUCAUAUACUGCUGUUUGCAUUUAUAUUGAUCUUGUUUGCUAAUUUAUUUGGGUGCUUACGUGCUAGAGGUCUGGUGAGAGUGUUAUUAUUCACUGCUUAAGUUCCUCUUUAAUUAUGGAAGCUGUACACGCUGAAGAGGCUAUGGAAGAUACACAUAGUACCCAUGAAGAAGCGCAUGCAGUCAAACAAGCAGAUGAAAUGUCACUCCCAACAGUAGAAAUAAGCAACCCAGUUGUGCAGCAGGUCAGAUCAAGCACACGUGAAAGAAGCUUCACAGAAAGGGGUCUGGAAAUGCGUGAACAGGAAGCCAAGCGACAAGAGAAAGCUUUCCAUAAAGCUUAUAACAGUUGGAAAGAGACUGCAAAAGAUUGUAGAUCAACACUAAAAAUGUUCUGUUCACGUGAGAAUCUAGAACAAAUUCAGCAAGACAUUCAAAAUCAAUGUAAUCUAGUCCAUCAGCAUUAUGAGCCAAUAUUGCGUAACCAUGCUACAUCUCCAGACAUUGUCAAUCGUAUGGAUGCUUGUGCUGCACUGACUGCUGAAAUUAUUGAUCUUGUGAGUAAGCGGCUGGAGACAAUAGGUGAAGAUUACAAUGAAGAGCUUGUGAAGGAAAGAGUGAGACAAGUCUUAAAUAAAGAUGAAUAUGGAUCAAUCUUUGGAUGCACAAAAACAAACACAGUGAUGUCAGAGUCAUCGCUAGGAUCAGGUAAUCAGUCGAAGACCUCUUCCAAGAUAUCAAGUAAGCGAGCUGAAGCAGAAGCUGAACUUGCAGCAAAACAAGAGCAAGCUAAAGCUAUGCAGGAAAUCCAUGAUCAACAAGCAAAGCUUAAUAAAAUGGAGAGUGAAUGGAAGCUUUCUGAAGCUAAAAUGCUAGCAGAAAUAAAGCAAAGAGAGGUAGAAAUGCAGCUAAAGCUUGAAGAAGAAAGAAAACGGCUGCAUCAGUUGCAAGUAGACAAGGAAGUAAAAGUAGCAGCAGCUCGUGUGAAAGUGUACAAUGAUCUUGAAGGGAUCAGUCAAUUUGGUGAUAAAGAAAUAGAUUCUAGCAUUCACAGAUUUCAGUUAAACCCAGAAGCUGAAUUGUUCUUGCCUCAGCAAACAUUCAAGGCAGAGCAUGAAGCCCAGCCAUCUCAGAAUAAUGUUUCUUUAGCUCAAGCAAUAGCAGACUCACUAAGCACACAUCGACUGCCUGUGCCUGAACCCAUGAUCUUCGCUGGUGAUCCAUUGAAAUUCAUAGAUUGGAAGAUGUCCUUCAUAGCUCUUAUAGAAAGAAAGCCCCUCCCACCUGGUGAGAAGAUGUUCUAUCUUAAAAAGUACCUUGUUGGAAAAGCUCGUAAGGCUGUGGAGGGAUAUUUCUAUAGAAAUUCAGAGGAUGCAUACCAUGGAGCAUGGAAGGUCCUGCAAGAUAGAUAUGGGAAUUCAUUCAUACUACAAAAAGCCUUUAGAGACAAGCUGAUGAGGUGGCCCAAAAUUGGAAUAAAUGACCCACUUGCACUGCGAGACUUCACAGAUUUCCUGCAAGGAUGUGCUGAGGCAAUGCCACACAUUAAGGGAUUAUCUAUUCUAAAUGACUGUGAAGAAAACUACAAGCUACUAAAGAAACUUCCUGAAUGGGUUGUACACAAAUGGAAUCGAAUUGUGACGGAAGAAUUAGAUGCAUCAGGGGACUAUCCAAGUUUCAAGUGUUUUACAGAGUUCUUGCAAAAGGAAACUAGAAUAGCUUGUAACCCCAUUACUUCCCCAUUCAUGAAUAUGAAAAAUUCAGAUGAAAAGUUCCCCAAGCGAGCUAAGGCACUCAGUACAAAGACUGACGUGAAAGAGUUCAGUUCUAAAGGGCUUAAUACAUCUAGCGUAAAGUCAAAAGUAUCAUGCAUUGUCUGUAAAGAUGAAAACCACAGCAUUGUCCAAUGUUCUGCAUUUGGAGAAAAAACCAUUGAAGACAAGAAGAACUUCAUUCAAGAAAAUCAGCUCUGUUAUGGGUGUCUCAGGAAAGGGCACAUUGUAAAAAAAUGCAGAAGACGACAUAAGUGUGGAACAUGUGGCCGCAAUCACCCCACAUGCUUACAUGAAGAAAGACAUAUGGUGUCUCCAAAACCAUUAAAUAAAACUUCAACAGAAGUACAAGCAAGUCAGGAAGUUCAGAAAGUUAUGGCCCAUGCACUCACACAAAGCUCUUCUGCUACUUCCAGUAUUGUGCCAGUCCUUAUUUCAACAGUGGAAGAGCCUCAAAGGGAAGUACUCACUUAUGCGCUACUGGACACGCAGAGUGACUCAACAUUCAUUUUGGAAGAUCUUCUUGAUGAUCUAAAUGCAGUCAAGCAACCAGUUCAACUUAGAUUAAGCACUAUGACAGCUGUGGAUACUAUAACGGCAAGUAACAGGGUUUGCGGUCUGCAAGUUAGAGGACUCCAAGCAGCAAACUCCAUUCAGUUACGGCAAGCAUAUACAAGAGACUUCAUUCCUGUUGAUAAGUCCUAUAUCCCAACGAAGAGCACAGCACUGGAGUGGCCUCACCUAAAACAUCUGGCCAAUCAAUUGCCACCACUGCAGAACUGCGAAGUCGGAUUAUUAAUCGGAUAUGACUGCCCUUCAGCUCUAGCUCCCCUUGAAGUCAUAAUUGGUCAUGAAAAUGAACCAUUCGCACAAAGAACUGAACUUGGUUGGAGCAUUAUAGGUCUCUCUAAUCCACACCUAGACAGGCAGGGAAAUCAGAGUUUUGUCCACAGAGUUGCAGUCAAGGAGAUAUUUGUUCCAUCACCCAAUGAUGUCUUGAAAAUUCUUGAGUCAGAUUUCAAUGAGAAAGGUUAUGAGGAUAAAAGUGUGUCUCAAGAGGAUGUUCGUUUCAUUCAACAUCUCAGUACCAACAUCAAACAGAAGGAUAAUGGACAUUAUGAACUUCCCCUCCCUUUCAAGAGUAUCAGCCAACCAUCACUGCCAAAUAAUAGAAGGCUGGCAGUUGCCCGGCUGCAGCAAUUAAAGAAAAAGCUCAAAUCUAACAAGCAAUAUUCGGAUGACUACAAAGUCUUCAUGAAGGAAGUCGUUGACAAAGGUGAUGCUGAACUAGCCCCUGAGAUAUCAGAAGGAGAGACUGUAUGGUAUAUUCCACACCACGGAGUAUACCACCCUCAGAAACCAGGUAAGCUGAGGGUUGUGUUCGACUGUUCAGCUAAGUUUAGUGGUAUAUCUCUAAACGACACUCUGUUGACUGGGCCUGAUCUAAUAAAUUCAUUAGUUGGAGUACUCUGCCGCUUCAGAAAGGAGCUAGUCGCAGUCACCUGUGAUAUAGAAAAGAUGUUUCACCAGUUCCUUGUUCCUCCAGACGAACGUAAUUAUCUGAGGUUCUUGUGGUGGGAGGAUGGAGACUGGGAGAAAGAGCCUCAAGACUAUCGCAUGACAGUCCAUCUCUUUGGCGCUACAUCGUCUCCUGGGUGUGCCAAUUUCGGUUUGAAGUACCUGGCACAGCAGUACGAAGUUAAACACCCAACAGCUUCAGAGUUUGUUAAAAGAAACUUCUAUGUAGACGAUGGGCUAGCCAGUGUUCGUUCAAUUGAUGAAGCCAAGGAACUAAUUGCUGAUGCUCAAGCACUCUGUAAACAAGGAGGUUUACGGCUUCAUAAAUUCAACUCCAAUAAGGAAGAUGUUCUCUGCUGCAUAGACCCAUCUGAAAGGGAUAUUGUCUCUAAACCUCUCAAUUUAAACCCUGAAGCAACACCAACAGGACGUGUACUUGGUGUUCAGUGGUCAACAAGGGAUGACAAUUUUCAAUUCAACAUCAACUAUAAAGAUCAGCCAUCGACCCGCCGUGGAAUCUUGUCUGUCAUUAGUUCCCUGUUCGACCCAAUUGGGUUUGUGGCACCAUUUAUUCUUCAGGGAAAGUGCAUCCUGCAGGAACUAUGUCGGAAAAACAUUGGAUGGGAUGAUCAGCUACCAGAAGACAUGUAUUCACGGUGGGAGGAUUGGAAAGGUGGACUUCAAAGGCUUAAAGAAGUUGUCAUACCAAGAUGUUAUCACCCUGACACCUUCAAUGAGAUCAUUGAAACGGAGCUGCACCACUUCUCCGAUGCGAGCAACAUUGGAUAUGGAGCUUGCUCUUAUCUUCGUUUCAAAAAUGACAAAGGUAAAGUGCACUGCAGUUUGGUAAUGGCAAAGGCUAGAGUCGCACCUACAAAAGUCACAAGUAUACCAAGACUAGAACUUGCGGCGGCUGUUCUAUCUGCAAAGAUAAGUGUCAUGCUAAAGACAGAGCUUGAAAUGAAGAUUGACAGAGAAUUCUUUUGGACAGAUUCACAGGUUGUUUUGGCUUAUAUUAAUAACGAAGCAAGACGGUUUCAUGUAUUCGUUGCUAACCGUGUGCAACUCAUAAGGGACAUUACAGAUCCAAGCCUGUGGUACUAUGUUAAUACCUUAGAGAACCCGGCUGAUCAUGCUUCCAGAGGGUUUCAUGCCUCUGACAUUGCUACUUCAACCUGGUUAAGAGGUCCCAAAUUUCUGUGGGAACAAGAAGUGAAUCCAACACCACAUACCUCUGCCAAUUUGCUUGUUGGUGACCCCGAAGUUAAACCAGUCCAAACAUUUGUGACCACAGUUAGUGACAGUUCCGACAUUUUAAGUCGUUUCAGACGAUUUUCUUGCUGGUCAAUGCUUCUGAAGGUUGUGGCAAGGAUAAAAAGACUUGGAUUGAAACAGAAAUGCUCCACUGACCAUAUAACUGUUGAGGAGCGUCAGAGAGCUGCUGAAGUGGUGAUCAAGCUCAUGCAGCAGGAAGCAUUUUCCAAAGAAAUGAGAAUGAUUGAAAAUGGGAAUGCUCUUCCAAAUUCUAGUGCGUUGUAUCAACUGGAUCCUGUUUUGGACAAAGGUCUUCUUCGGGUAGGGGGAAGAUUGAAGAAGUCAUCACUCAGUCAAGACCUCAAACAUCCUGUGAUUCUACCAAGGGAUAGUUACAUCACCAAGCUAAUUCUGUCGCAUUAUCAUGCCAAAAUUUGCCAUCAGGGUCGAACUCAAACUCAAAUGCAGCUUAGAAUGAAUGGAUUCUGGGUCAUUGGAGGUAGCAAAUCAGUUGCUAAGCUGAUACACAAGUGUGUGCAGUGUCGAAGACUUAGACGACCGACAGAAGAACAACGAAUGGCCGAACUUCCCAAGGAGCGUGUCGAAGUAUCUGCUCCCUUUACAUUUUGUGGCAUGGACUGUUUUGGGCCAUUUGUCGUGAAGAGAGCUCGCAAAGAAUACAAGCGAUACGGUCUAAUAUUCACUUGUUUGUCAUCUCGCGCAGUUCAUAUUGAAAUGAUUGAAGAUUUGUCCACAGAUGCCUUCAUCAAUGCAUUGAGAUGCUUUAUAAGCCUCAGAGGAGCAGUUUGCAAACUUUAUUGUGAUCAAGGUACAAACUUUGUCGGGGCCAGGAACGAAUUCAAAGAUUGCCUGAAACAAGUCGACAUCAAAACUCUGGAAGUCUUUCUCGCAGAGAAACAAUGUGAGUUUGCCUUUAAUGCUCCUUCUGCAAGUCACACUGGAGGUGUCUGGGAACGACAAAUACGAACUGUGCGCAGUGUACUUAAUGCCACAAUUGCACUGUGUCCUGGUAGACUUGACGAUGCUUCACUUAGAACAUUGUUCUAUGAGGCAAUGGCCAUAGUUAACAGUCGCCCGCUUACAGUAGAUGGAAUUAAUGAUCCAAAUUCACUAGAGCCUCUAACUCCAAACCACCUAAUACUUAUGAAGUCUGAUGUUGCACUUCCACCUCCAGGAAAAUUUGUUAAAGAAGACAUGUACGCUACAAAAAGAUGGCGAAGAGUCCAAUACUUGGUUGAGCAAUUUUGGAGUCGCUGGAAGAAGGAAUACUUGCUUAACAUUUCAACACGCCAAAAGUGGCACACUCCUCGCAGAAACCUCAGAGUAAAUGAUGUUGUAAUAAUCAAAGAGGAUAUGCUCCCAAGAAGUCAAUGGCAGUUGGGCAGAGUGGUUGAAACUGUCAAAGAGAGUGAUGGAUUUGUGAGACGAGUAAAGGUACGAGUAGCAGAACGAAAGCUCACUAACAAACGUAAUCAGACCCCCAAGCUCUCAAUCAUUGAAAGACCGAUUCAGAAAUUAGUUGUACUUCUUGAAGAAGACUGACUGUUAGUAACUGGGAUGAUACACUCUCAUCAGACCAAAUAAUUAUUUCUGAAAUACUUGAUAGUCAUGAAAAGUAAACGUGGUCAUGUUAUAGUUCAAAAUCAUGUUCUGAUUAAUUUCAGUUUGUUCUUUCAAUUCAUCAUAAAAUGAUUGGUGGGAGUGUAAGUGACCACUAAAUCAUUAUAUGCCUUUAAAUAAUUUUAGAGCAUCAGAGCAUGUCACGUGUUUCGGUAGCCUAGGUGACUAAUAGGUUAAUCAGGCUAGCAGGAGCGAAGAGAAGACACGUUGCUGUGCGAUUUAAGGAAAAAGGGAGGCUUAAUCCUGCACAAUUUAUUUAAUAGAACCCUUUGGGAAAGCGGAGCGAGUUUCACGGUGCUACGCAACGAAAGUUUAAUGGCUCUCGGCUUGAGCAAAAUAAAGAAUCAAGCACCCGUCAGAAACUCUCUGUCUCGUUCAUGGAAACCAAAGGGCAUCUACAUAGUGAUUGCUCUUAAGAG
Molecule: non-coding RNA, 7686 nt
Organism: Danio rerio (zebrafish)
Lineage: Eukaryota; Metazoa; Chordata; Actinopteri; Cypriniformes; Danionidae
Source: RefSeq, a predicted model, not a curated record